AAAGCUCUGACCUCGCUUUUCUUUUUCAGCAUCACAGACCUGGCUCCCUCCUGGGGACAGGUUACUCGGUCUGUGGAAAGCAGCUCUGCCUUCUACGGAACAAAGGCAUCCCAAAAGAUCAGCUGUACAACGUCACUUCAUAUUCCUUAGGUUAGACGAUUAUAACUCCAUCUGAACAAGAAAUCAGAAAUACUUUCUUCUUGAUCACAUGGCAAGAAUCUGAACUCGUUCAAAGAGUUGCUCCAACCCCUAACCCCGCAAGAUCCUGAGGGUGACAGGAGGAUGCCAACCCCCCCACAAUACACCUCUCUGCACUGGCAGGCUAAGGAGUGGAUCCAAAACGAUUUCUGCAAUUUCACAGGAGCCAGACGGCAAAAUAUUCCCUACCAGUAAAGUGAACACAAGCCUGAACACACUGGAAUUCAAGGAGAAAAUUGUAGAUAUACAAAACUUACAAUAAAUCCUUUCCCAAAUUACA
RNAcentral lists this long non-coding RNA (478 nucleotides) under Numida meleagris (helmeted guineafowl). RNAcentral describes it as "lncRNA (ENSNMEG00000014114.1)". Lineage: Eukaryota; Metazoa; Chordata; Aves; Galliformes; Numididae. The record is from RNAcentral.